RNAcentral lists this ribosomal RNA (473 nucleotides) under uncultured bacterium. RNAcentral describes it as "bacterial SSU rRNA". It matches the Rfam family "Bacterial small subunit ribosomal RNA", at positions 355 to 825 of the family's 1533-position model. The record is from RNAcentral.
UGGGGAAUAUUGGACAAUGGGGGAAACCCUGAUCCAGCGAUGCCGCGUGUGUGAAGAAGGCCUGCGGGUUGUAAAGCACUUUCAGUUGGGAAGAUAGUUUGUAGGGGAAUAUCCUGCAGAUGAGACGUUACUAACAAAAGAAGCACCGGCUAACUCUGUGCCAGCAGCCGCGGUAAUACAGAGGGUGCGAGCGUUAAUCGGAAUUACUGGGCGUAAAGGGCGCGUAGGCGGCCCUCUAAGUCAGACGUGAAAUCCCCUGGCUUAACCUGGGAACUGCGUCUGAUACUGGAGGGCUUGAGUAUGGGAGAGGGGAUGUAGAAUUCCAGGUGUAGCGGUGAAAUGCGUAGAUAUCUGGAGGAAUACCGGUGGCGAAGGCGGCAUCCUGGACCAUUACUGACGCUGAGGCGCGAAAGCUAGGGGAGCAAACGGGAUUAGAUACCCAAGUAGUCCCUGAGCGGGCUGGCAAGGCGCAU